AAUAACCAAAAAUAGUAGCAGGACUAAUAGUUGCGUCAGUAAUUAAACGAACGUCACCACCUCCAGGAGCCCAAGUAUCAUAAACACCACCGAAAUAUGAAGCUUUUAAAACUAAUAACCAAGAUCCUAAUCCUAAAAGGAUUAAAUGAAUACCUAAAAUAGUUGUCAUUUUGUUUUUGUCUUUCCA
This 187-nucleotide antisense RNA is filed under the name Bigelowiella natans. RNAcentral describes it as "Antisense RNA which regulates isiA expression". It matches the Rfam family "Antisense RNA which regulates isiA expression". Lineage: Eukaryota; Cercozoa; Chlorarachniophyceae. The record is from Rfam by way of RNAcentral.